RNAcentral lists this ribosomal RNA (471 nucleotides) under uncultured bacterium. Its description in RNAcentral is "partial 16S ribosomal RNA". It matches the Rfam family "Bacterial small subunit ribosomal RNA", at positions 29 to 507 of the family's 1533-position model. The record is from RNAcentral.
ACGAACGCUGGCGGCGUGCUUAACACAUGCAAGUCGAGCGGAAAGGCCCUUCGGGGUACUCGAGCGGCGAACGGGUGAGUAACACGUGAGUAAUCUGCCCUUGGCUUUGGGAUAACUACCGGAAACGGUGGCUAAUACCGGAUACGACAACCGUCUGCAUGGGCUGGUUGUGGAAAGUUUUUUCGGCCAGGGAUGUGCUCGCGGCCUAUCAGCUUGUUGGUGGGGUAAUGGCCUACCAAGGCUUCGACGGGUAGCCGGCCUGAGAGGGUGACCGGCCACACUGGGACUGAGACACGGCCCAGACUCCUACGGGAGGCAGCAGUGGGGAAUAUUGGACAAUGGGCGGAAGCCUGAUCCAGCAACGCCGCGUGAGGGAUGACGGCCUUCGGGUUGUAAACCUCUUUCAGUACCGACGAAGCGCCGAUGAUGGUGGUGACGGUAGGUACAGAAGAAGCACCGGCCAACUACGUG